GCUAUAGUGUGGGGUGUAAUUGGUGAAUGUGAAACCGCGUGCUUGGUCGAUGCAGUGAAAUAGUGGGUUCCAUGAAAACAUUGCCAAAAUGUAUCCGGGUGUUUGGUUGGCGACAAACAUUUUACCAGAGGUGAUCAUGUUGGCGCGCGC
This 150-nucleotide non-coding RNA is filed under the name Pacificibacter marinus. RNAcentral's name for it is "Roseovarius sp. HDW-9 Ruegeria cis2 sRNA". It matches the Rfam family "Ruegeria cis2 sRNA". Rfam says of the family: Cis-encoded. Targets ABC transporter. Functions in transport. Lineage: Bacteria; Pseudomonadati; Pseudomonadota; Alphaproteobacteria; Rhodobacterales; Roseobacteraceae. The record is from Rfam by way of RNAcentral.